AAAAUCGCCCCAAACUCCACUCAAUGUAUCCGCCCCAAGCAAUGAAGGGAGAAAACUCGCUCUGCUUCGGACGAGUGUACAGGGUGGUCGGGAUUUUGUCCGAGAAUGCGUAUAAAUUCGGGGCUGGCUUGUAAAGGGUACGUUAUUCAGCAGAAAAUACCAUCGACAGAGCUUUCCUCAAGUUUUCCACCAUGAGUGGAGAAGAAGAUAGAAAAUUGCACAGAUUGUUUGCAUCCUUCACCAACACAUCCUUUCUAUCCACAAGCAUGGCGGAAAUUUAUAAUCAUGCGGAGUGAAAAAUAUGAAAUACUCAGUUUUUCUUUGGAAUUUAUGAUAUUUCGUGAAAAUUACCAUCAAGGGAGUGUUUUGUAUAUUACAGUUUCAAGCCGCUCGGUAAAGCCUGCUAUCAUAAAUUUUGAGUAGUAAUAAUGAGAACCAUAAAAGUGAAAUGUUGUGUUUUGUAGUUUAAGGAAAAGAUGGUUUAUUAUAUUGUGAUUGCAGUUCUUCCCGGGUCCAUUGUUGCUAACUUUUGGAAUAGAGUGAAAUGAUCAAACCUUAAUUAACAUUUUGACCACUUACCAAUUCAAAAAAAGUUCGCGAAGCAUAUUACCAUCAAAACACAAGUGGAAAUAAAUACACAAAGUACUAUAUUACAAAAAGGUGAAAAUAUUUUGUGAAUGGAAAAUCUACUGAAAAAUUCUUUAAUGUGAAAAGCAAGGUGCAAAUAUCAGUGCUCUGUGAAAAACAGGAAGAAUAGCAAUAACGAAACAAAUCCAACUUUCAAAACAUAAUAAUUUUUAUAACGUUUUUAUUUUUGGAAAACUUUAUCUCAGAUAUAAAUCGGUGAUUUCAGUUCCAAAAACGACUGUUCGUGAAUGAAAAAAAUACAUUUUUGGCCAAGUCAGCUCCCUCAAAAUAAGUUUUAAAGCAUCUCAGGAAACUAUAUGCUCAUCGACUACGAAAUAAAAAGAUAUCUGGACAGAAAAUAAGUUAAAUUUAACUACUAGCAAUAACUGGGGGAAAUUCGAUCAUCAUUCAGUGAAAUGGCAUUGGCGACCUAUAACCUUCGAAGGCCAUAAGCGGUAGAAACGAAGUCCUGGAUCUACUUGAGAAAAAAUAAAAGGAGGGAAGGAAAAAUGGAGAACCAUCGGAAUAAACACUUACACAUUAAUGGAAAACAGCAAAAAAUAAUAUCGCGUUUAAGGUGACAUUCAGAGCAACAAUUCUACUGGUGUAUUGACUAUUUUGUUGCAACAAAUGAAUCAUCGAUUAUGUCAUAUAAACGUCACCGUUUCUCAAAGAAAAAUAAAUACAAAAAAAAGAUAAAAUGUCGAUAACUA
Molecule: long non-coding RNA, 1340 nt
Organism: Hermetia illucens (black soldier fly)
Lineage: Eukaryota; Metazoa; Arthropoda; Insecta; Diptera; Stratiomyidae
Exons: 2
Source: RefSeq, a predicted model, not a curated record